UUUCUUGCAUGAAAUACUCAAAGGACUGCCUACAAGCCCAAACUGGCGAAGGAUCUCUCAAGGCAUGAAAAAUAAAUUACACAAAAAAACUGCAGAGCUGACGCCUGAUUGAAGAAGUUAAUUUUUACUUGAAGUGAUACACAAGUUCAUACCAUGUAAAACCUUGACCGACAUGUGAUCCAUGGGGCAUGAAAACAUAACCCAGAUGGUUCUCGUGAAUAUAAGAUCCUCUGUAAAAAAAGCUAAUCGAAACAGCACCUGCUAUAAGAUUCCGUGUUUAUAAACUGUGGAUUCUAAAUGAUUUUUACCACGAAACAUCGAGCACAGAGACAAAUUUAACAAUGACUGGAUCAAGAAAUCAAUAAGCAUCAGUUCUUAGACAGAAAGAUGCUGUUAGCUUUGACAGAUAAAACAUCAUGGUUUCUAAAGUACAUUAACAACACUCAAUUCAACCAGCAACCUGGCUCCUAAAGAACACCCAACAUCAGUAAGACUACAUUUU
Molecule: long non-coding RNA, 502 nt
Organism: Populus euphratica (Euphrates poplar)
Lineage: Eukaryota; Viridiplantae; Streptophyta; Magnoliopsida; Malpighiales; Salicaceae
Exons: 2
Source: RefSeq, a predicted model, not a curated record